Molecule: long non-coding RNA, 728 nt
Filed under: Ananas comosus (pineapple)
Lineage: Eukaryota; Viridiplantae; Streptophyta; Magnoliopsida; Poales; Bromeliaceae
Description: long non-coding RNA (ACOM_LNC022005)
Source: RNAcentral
UUUUAGCCUUUGGAUCAACUCUUUUCAUUAUUUCUAACCAUUGGAUUAAAUACUAUAACCCAGUGGGGACCACUCAACCCUAGGGGGACUACUCAACUCUAACCGACUAAUAUCAUCCUAACCUUACAAUUUUUCAUCCAAGGGUUAAAAACUUGAUAGUAAAAAGAGCGUUUUACUAUUAAUAGUAUUCCAGCCUAAUUCAUAUAUAUAUAUAUAUAUAUUAUGCUAGUUUUAAAAAUAUGCAUGAGUUGUUUGUUUAAUUUAUCCUUUGUGGGUGUAUUAAAAUGCUUAUGUAGCAUGUGAUUGUAUAUUUUUUUGGCAUGUAAGUGCUUAUGUUAUUUCGGUAUUUUAUAACAAAAUUUAAUUUUGGAAAAACAGGUUCGAUGUGUGCAGCAUUCCUGUAGAUCAUUCCUUUUCUGAUGUACAUCUUGUAGUGAUGUAGUAGGUUUUAAUUCCGCAAAUGGUGAUGUAUUAAUUAAGGCCAUGUAAAAGAAUGUGUUUUUGCGCAGCGUCGACGUUUUUCAAAUUAAAUUUUGGCAUAAAUACUUAUUUUUUUAUCUGUGUGAUGAUAUUAUGAGAUAAGUUCUCUUUAUGUAAAUAUUUUUCAAGAAAAAGAUGUGUUCUUUCACAAUGGAAGAAUUUUUGGACAAGUUUCAAAAUUAAUAGAAAAUUAAUAAGAUUGUAAUAUUUUGAACUGACACUGGGUGAUGAUUACGAGCAUAGCGAAA